GUGAGUAGGCAUACUGUAUAGUCAAAGUUGGUUAGCCAAGGCCUCAGAAGUGGGAAAAGUACCUAAAAUAUUGGUUUAUUAAUACUUGGUUGACAAAACCUUUUUUUGUGCUAUGGAGAAUGCAUUAUCUGGAGAAAAAAAAAGUCAAAAUCUACACAGACUGAAUCAAAACAAAUCUCUCUUAGGCACUGAUCUCAGAGAGGUUUGAAAUAUAAUUCAGCCUCUGCUUACGUUGUAAACAUGUAGCUCCUCUAAUUAUUGUACUUGAAACGUAAUAUGUCUGACAUUGUGAGGAAUUUAGACUGUAUUUGCCACAAAUGGUUGUUGUUUAAAGGCUUAGGUUCCCUUAUAUUGGUGGUGUGGUAUGUUGAUGAACUGACAGUAAACCUUACUGUCUAGAAAGUACAUUCAUUAGAUCGAGUAAGAGUUAUGAAGUAUUUACAUUUACAUAUGGCAAAUAAACUUAAAACUAGAUAGUUUGCAGUCUAGUUGGUGCAUUUCUGUCAUAUCGAAUGAAACAGCUGAUUAGAAAUAACUUACAACUCUGUACAAUUUCAGAGAGUAACACAUACCAGCGCAAUAGGCAAUUGUUUAACUCCAUGUUCUAUCAUUAAUCUGGAGAGGCGGUAUUCUGAACUGCUUUGAAGCUGAGGUGUUGUAGGGUGUUUGGGGUUGUGUGUUGUGAGCUGUGUAUAGUGUUUGGGGCUGUGUAGUUGUGUGUUUUGGACAGCGUGGUUGUGUGUUUUGGACUGUGUGGUUGUGUGUUUUGGACUGUGUGGUUGUGUGUUUUGGACUGUGUGGUUGUGUGUUUUGGACUGUGUGGUUGUGUGUCAGGGCGUGACAGGGGGUGUUUUUCUAUGUUUUGUAUUUCUAUGUUCAUGUUCUAGUUUUGUAUUUCUACGUUUGUUUUGUUUGGGAUGAUCUCCAAUUAGAGGCAGCUGGUCCUCGUUGUCUCUAAUUGGAGAUCAAAUCAAAUCAAAUAUAUUUAUAUAGCCCUUCUUACAUCAGCUGAUAUCUCAAAGUGCUGUACAGAAACCCAGCCUAAAACCCCAAACAGCAAGCAAUGCAGGUGUAGAAGCACGGUGGCUAGGAAAAACUCCCUAGAAAGGCCAAAACCUAGGAAGAAACCUAGAGAGGAACCAGGCUAUGAGGGGUGGCCAGUCCUCUUCUGGCUGUGCCGGGUGGAGAUUAUAACAGCACAUGGCCAAGAUGUUCAAAUGUUCAUAAAUGACCAGCAUGGUCAAAUAAUAAUAAUCAUAGUAGUUGUCGAGGGUGCAACAAGUCAGUAACACAAAAGUGUCAGUUGGCUUUUUCAUAGCCGAUCUUUGAGAGUAUCUCUACCGCUCCUGCUGUCUCUAGAGAGUUGAAAACAGCAGGUCUGGGACAGGUAGCACGUCCGGUGAACAGGUCAGGGUUCCAGCAGGUCUGGGACAGCAAGUCUGGGACAGGUAGCACGUCCGGUGAACAGGUCAGGGUUCCAUAGCUGCAGGCAGAACAGUUGGAACUGGAGCAGCAGCACGGCCAGGUGAACUGGGGACAGCAAGGAGUCAUCAAGCCAGGUAGUCCUGAGGCAUGGUCCUAGGGCUCAGGUCCUCCGAGAGAGAGAAAGAAAGAAAGAGAGAAAGAGAGAAUUAGAGAGAGC
This 1642-nucleotide long non-coding RNA is filed under the name Salmo salar (Atlantic salmon). Its description in RNAcentral is "lncRNA (ENSSSAG00000083241.1)". The record is from RNAcentral. Lineage: Eukaryota; Metazoa; Chordata; Actinopteri; Salmoniformes; Salmonidae.